This 390-nucleotide ribosomal RNA is filed under the name uncultured bacterium. RNAcentral describes it as "bacterial SSU rRNA". It matches the Rfam family "Bacterial small subunit ribosomal RNA", at positions 29 to 430 of the family's 1533-position model. The record is from RNAcentral.
AACGAACGCUGGCGGCAGGCCUAACACAUGCAAGUCGAACGAGAUCUUCGGAUCUAGUGGCGGACGGGUGAGUAACGCGUGGGAAUCUACCUCGUAGUUGGGGAUAGCCCGGAGAAAUCCGGAUUAAUACCGAAUAAGAUCUACGGAUGAAAAGGUGCCUCUGCUUGCAAGCACUUGCUAUGAGAUGAGCCCGCGUUAGAUUAGUUAGUUGGUGGGGUAAUGGCCUACCAAGACGACGAUCUAUAGCUGGUUUGAGAGGAUGAUCAGCCACAUUGGGACUGAGACACGGCCCAGACUCCUACGGGAGGCAGCAGUGGGGAAUAUUGGACAAUGGGCGAAAGCCUGAUCCAGCAAUACCGCGUGUGUGAAGAAGGCCUUCGGGUUGUAAAG